AAAGAGUUAGUUUAAUUGGUAAAACAUAUACAAAUUUUGGUUCAAUUCCAAAACUCUUUA
Molecule: transfer RNA, 60 nt
Filed under: Asterionella formosa
Lineage: Eukaryota; Bacillariophyta; Fragilariophyceae; Tabellariales; Tabellariaceae
Description: tRNA-Leu
Rfam family: tRNA
About the family: Transfer RNA (tRNA) molecules are approximately 80 nucleotides in length. Their secondary structure includes four short double-helical elements and three loops (D, anti-codon, and T loops).
Source: RNAcentral